CCUACGGGUGGCAGCAGUGGGGAAUAUUGCACAAUGGGGGAAACCCUGAUGCAGCGACGCCGCGUGAGUGAAGAAGUAUUUCGGUACGUAAAGCUCUAUCAGCAGGGAAGAAAAUGACGGUACCUGACUAAGAAGCCCCGGCUAACUACGUGCCAGCAGCCGCGGUAAUACGUAGGGGGCAAGCGUUAUCCGGAGUUACUGGGUGUAAAGGGAGCGUAGACGGCAGCGCAAGUCUGGAGUGAAAUCCCAUGGCUUAACCAUGGAACUGCUUUGGAAACUGUGCAGCUAGAGUGCAGGAGAGGUAAGCGGAAUUACUAGUGUAGCGGUGAAAUGCGUAGAUAUUAGGAGGAACACCAGUGGCGAAGGCGGCUUACUGGACUGUAACUGACGUUGAGGCUCGAAAGCGUGGGGAGCAAACAGGAUUAGAUACCCGGGUAGUC
RNAcentral lists this ribosomal RNA (440 nucleotides) under uncultured bacterium. Its description in RNAcentral is "partial 16S ribosomal RNA". It matches the Rfam family "Bacterial small subunit ribosomal RNA", at positions 338 to 795 of the family's 1533-position model. The record is from RNAcentral.